AUUAGUACAGUUUAUUAGUUAAAGUUUCCACUGUUUUAGUGUUCGACUGCUCUGACCUCUGUUCACUACGAAUCACUUUUCUCUUUGUACAAAAUUUAUAUGACUAUGCCAUUUGUUUCCUUAAAAGUAGACUCAAUAAUGAAUCUAUAAAUAUAAAGUAUGACUCCUAAUUAUUUUUAUAUAAUUUUUAGUGAAUUUCUAAAUUCAGAACAGGGAAUUU
This 220-nucleotide long non-coding RNA is filed under the name Gossypium barbadense (sea-island cotton). RNAcentral describes it as "long non-coding RNA (GBAR_LNC001560)". The record is from RNAcentral. Lineage: Eukaryota; Viridiplantae; Streptophyta; Magnoliopsida; Malvales; Malvaceae.